ACCCUUUAGUGUGCAGCUAACGCAUAAGCACUCCGCCUGGGGAGUACGGCCGCAAGGCUGAAACUCAAAGGAAUUGACGGGGGCCCGCACAAGCGGUGGAGCAUGUGGUUUAAUUCGAAGCAACGCGAAGAACCUUACCAGGUCUUGACAUCCCCUGACAACCCAAGAGAUUGGGCGUUCCCCCUUCGGGGGGACAGGGUGACAGGUGGUGCAUGGUUGUCGUCAGCUCGUGUCGUGAGAUGUUGGGUUAAGUCCCGCAACGAGCGCAACCCUCGCCUCUAGUUGCCAGCAUUCGGUUGGGCACUCUAGAGGGACUGCCGGCGACAAGUCGGAGGAAGGUGGGGAUGACGUCAAAUCAUCAUGCCCCUUAUGACCUGGGCUACACACGUGCUACAAUGGGCGGUACAAAGGGCUGCGAACCCGCGAGGGGGAGCGAAUCCCAAAAAGCCGCUCUCAGUUCGGAUUGCAGGCUGCAACUCGCCUGCAUGAAGCCGGAAUCGCUAGUAAUCGCGGAUCAGCAUGCCGCGGUGAAUACGKUCCCGGGCCUUGUACACACCGCCCGUCACACC
This 569-nucleotide ribosomal RNA is filed under the name Geobacillus stearothermophilus. Its description in RNAcentral is "bacterial SSU rRNA". It matches the Rfam family "Bacterial small subunit ribosomal RNA", at positions 836 to 1403 of the family's 1533-position model. The record is from RNAcentral. Lineage: Bacteria; Bacillati; Bacillota; Bacilli; Caryophanales; Anoxybacillaceae.